Molecule: ribosomal RNA, 429 nt
Filed under: Acidobacteriota bacterium
Lineage: Bacteria; Pseudomonadati; Acidobacteriota
Description: Acidobacteria bacterium partial 16S ribosomal RNA
Rfam family: Bacterial small subunit ribosomal RNA
Source: RNAcentral
UGGGGAAUUUUGGACAAUGGGGGAAACCCUGAUCCAGCCAUCCCGCGUGUGCGAUGAAGGCCUUCGGGUUGUAAAGCACUUUUGGCAGGAAAGAAACGUCAUGGGUUAAUACCCCGUGAAACUGACGGUACCUGCAGAAUAAGCACCGGCUAACUACGUGCCAGCAGCCGCGGUAAUACGUAGGGUGCAAGCGUUAAUCGGAAUUACUGGGCGUAAAGCGUGCGCAGGCGGUUCGGAAAGAAAGUUGUGAAAUCCCAGAGCUCAACUUUGGAACUGCAUUUUUAACUACCGGGCUAGAGUGUGUCAGAGGGAGGUGGAAUUCCGCGUGUAGCAGUGAAAUGCGUAGAUAUGCGGAGGAACACCGAUGGCGAAGGCAGCCUCCUGGGAUAACACUGACGCUCAUGCACGAAAGCGUGGGGAGCAAACAGG